CCGCCGGUGCCGCCGCCUCCCUCCUUCCCGCCCCGCCCCGCCACUGCGCAGGCGCGGCGCCUGGCCCCGCCUCUGCGCAGUCGCAGCCCUGGCCGGCCGCGCCCUCUUCACGCACGCGCACUGCGCACGCUCCCCGACAGAGUCCCGGGCGAGCGGGGCCGCCGUGGCCCUGAAGAGAUCCGAGCGGUUCCGCUGGCCCGACGGAAGGGAGGCGACGGCAGGCUGCGGAGCUGCGCCCUGGAGGUCAGCGCCGGGCGGAAGUCACCUCCAAGCUCCGGGAGCCCGACGUUUCGGGCGGAACCGGGUAGCGGCUCCUGAUUCGGAUCCGUAGGGCGCACCCUGGUCGCCCGCGCGGCCACUCCUCCGGCCUCAGUUUCCAGUGGCUGAAGGAGCCCGGGGCGCCGGAACUCAGCUGUAUUACAGGCCAGGUCCUUGAACAGCAAAUGGAGUGUCUGGUGCAAGCCUCGAACUGCUUUUCCAGAAGCAAGCGUGGUGAUGUCAGAUGCGCGUGAGCCUGGAGUCAGAAGGUACCUGCUGAAGAGAGAUGCUGUGGCAUGCAUUCUUGAUGGAACUCCUGGGUCUGGGCAAGUUAAUGCCAUCCCUUUGACCAGCAGGUUUAAGAAACAGAGGGAAGGACUGGAGAGAUGGGGCAGCAGUUAGGAGCACUGACUGUUCUUCCAGAGGACCCUGGUUAAAUCCUCAGCACCCACAUGGUGUCUCACAACCGUCUGGAACGCCAGUCUCAGGAUCUGUCUGUCCUCUUCCAGCCUUGGCAGGCACUACAGACACAUGUUUAGACACACAUUCAGACUUUCAUACACAUAAAAUAAAAACCUCAAAAAAUAAUAAGAAAAAACAGAUGGAAAGGAAGAGGCAGUGGUGGCACACACCUUUAAUCCCAGCACUCAGAAGGCAGAGGCAGAGAGAUCUCUGUGAGUUCCAGGACAGCCAGGGCUACACAGAGAUAUCCUGUCUUGAAAAACAAAACAACAGCAAAAACAUCUUAGGGUAGACUUGGGAGAAGCGCCCCGGUCUCCCUGACCUGUGAAGCAGUCGAUCCCAUCUGCACACCUGCUCCCAGGUCAGGAAGGCCGAAGUUUUGAUGCCAACUUUGAAAUCCACCCCUGAAAAGCUUUUGGAUAAGCAGUGUAGCCUUGUCUCAGAGCCUGUUUCCUCACAGAGUAGGACUGUCUGGCCUGUGCCUGUGACAACAGUGAGGGAUGCUAGUCAGUUAUCAUUGAGCCGUUUCCUAUGUAGACUUCCACAAUUUCCAAGGCAGCAACCUGGUGACACGCUGACAGAUACUCCGGGAAAGUAAAGCAGAAUUGACCACAGGGAGAAGAGAGACCCAGGUUUGUCCCAGGUGUCAUCCAGCACCCAGUACAUCUUAACUGUAACCAUUUAAUAGUUACUUAUCCUGUAACUAUUUAAUGGCUUCUUACUAUUUACUAUACCCCAUGUUGUAGAGGAUAAUACUGAAAAUUUUCCCUCCAAGAAUUUACAGACUCAGCAGAGCUCAGCAGAUACACUCAUGAGGAAUUACAAGUGAAUGAAUUGGAACAGUUGUCAGGUCUCCACCUAGACUUCAGAGGAGACAAACUGCCUGUUAGCAGGAGUGAUGGACGGAAUGUAAAAAAAUAAAUUAAUAAAUGAACAAAAAAAAGUGA
This is a long non-coding RNA of Mesocricetus auratus (golden hamster), 1667 nucleotides long. RefSeq lists it as uncharacterized. The record is from RefSeq and is a predicted model, not a curated record. NCBI's taxonomy places the organism in Eukaryota, Metazoa, Chordata, Mammalia, Rodentia, Cricetidae. The transcript is spliced from 2 exons.